RNAcentral lists this ribosomal RNA (330 nucleotides) under uncultured bacterium. Its description in RNAcentral is "bacterial SSU rRNA". It matches the Rfam family "Bacterial small subunit ribosomal RNA", at positions 917 to 1247 of the family's 1533-position model. The record is from RNAcentral.
GGACCCGCACAAGUAGUGGAGCAUGUGGUUUAAUUCGAAGCAACGCGCAGAACCUUACCAACCCUUGACAUCCUGUGCUACAUUCAGAGAUGAAUGGUUCCUUUCGGGGACGCAGUGACAGGUGCUGCAUGGCUGUCGUCAGCUCGUGUCGUGAGAUGUUCGGUUAAGUCCGGCAACGAGCGCAACCCACAUCCCUAGUUGCCAGCAGUUCGGCUGGGCACUCUAUGGAAACUGCCCGUGAUAAGCGGGAGGAAGGUGUGGAUGACGUCAAGUCCUCAUGGCCCUUACGGGUUGGGCUACACACGUGCUACAAUGGGGAAUACAGACGGA